This 341-nucleotide long non-coding RNA is filed under the name Populus trichocarpa (black cottonwood). RNAcentral's name for it is "long non-coding RNA (PTRI_LNC003511)". The record is from RNAcentral. Lineage: Eukaryota; Viridiplantae; Streptophyta; Magnoliopsida; Malpighiales; Salicaceae.
CCAGAGUUGCUCAACAGGAUAGACGAAGUUGUGGUAUUCCAUCCCCUUGAGAAGGCUCAGGUUUGUCACCAUUCUUUUUCUGUAAUUUGUUUUUCCAUGGACUCCAAUGACAUUUGUUGUUGGAAGGCUGCAGCCUUACUAUACGUCACCUUUUACAAGUUUGAACUUAAAAUUCUGCCGAGUUAUAUCAUUUGGUUCCCAUUUACAAGCCUUUAUCUCUUUUCUUUUUUCCUUUUUGGUGUGGUCUCGCCCAUGCUGUAUUCACCUUUUACAAGUUUGAACUUAAAAUUCUCACUUUUCAGUGAAUCUGAAUCACCUGGGACUGUGGCUUUGAGCAAACA